RNAcentral lists this ribosomal RNA (492 nucleotides) under uncultured bacterium. Its description in RNAcentral is "partial 16S ribosomal RNA". It matches the Rfam family "Bacterial small subunit ribosomal RNA", at positions 28 to 507 of the family's 1533-position model. The record is from RNAcentral.
GACGAACGCUGGCGGCGUGCUUAACACAUGCAAGUCGAACGGAAAGGCCCCCACUUUUUUGGUGGGGGUGCUCGAGUGGCGAACGGGUGAGUAACACGUGGGUGAUCUGCCCUGUACUUCGGGAUAAGCUUGGGAAACUGGGUCUAAUACCGGAUAGGACCAUGGUUUAGUGUCUCAUGGUGGAAAAAUUAUUGUUUUGGUGCAGGAUGAGCUCGCGGCCUAUCAGCUUGUUGGUGGGGUAAUGGCCUACCAAGGCGUCGACGGGUAGCCGGCCUGAGAGGGUGGACGGCCACAUUGGGACUGAGAUACGGCCCAGACUCCUACGGGAGGCAGCAGUGGGGAAUAUGGCACAAUGGGCGCAAGCCUGAUGCAGCGACGCCGCGUGGGGGAUGACGGCCUUCGGGUUGUAAACUCCUUUCGUUAGGGACGAAGCCGCACCUUUUUGGGGUGUGGUGACGGUACCUUUGUUAAGAAGCACCGGCUAACUACGUG